Nomascus leucogenys (northern white-cheeked gibbon) is the source of this 1504-nucleotide RNA transcript. It is a transcript of the gene named PRAME family member 1-like, with no coding region annotated. NCBI's taxonomy places the organism in Eukaryota, Metazoa, Chordata, Mammalia, Primates, Hylobatidae. The record is from RefSeq and is a predicted model, not a curated record. The transcript has 3 exons.
AUGAGCAUCCAGGCCCCACCCAGACUCCUGGAGCUGGCAGGGCAGAGUCUGCUGAGAGACCAGGCCUUGGCCAUCUCUGCCGUGGAGGAGCUGCCCAGGGUGUUCUAUCUCCCACUCUUCCUGGAGGCCUUCAGCAGGAGACACUUCCAGACUCUGACGGUGAUGGUGCAGGCCUGGCCCUUCACCCGCCUCCCUCUGGGAUCGCUGAUGAAGACGCUUCAUCUGGAGACCUUAAAAGCAUUGCUGGAAGGGCUUCAUAUGCUGCUUGCACAGAAGAUUCACCCCAGGAGGUGGAAACUUCCAGUGCUGGAUUUGCGGGAUGUUGAUGAGAAUUUCUGGGCCAUAUGGUCUGAAUCCAGGGCCCUGUCCUACUCCCCAGAGGCCAUGAGUAAGAGGCAGACAGCAGAGGACUGUCCAAGGACGGGAGAGCACCAGCCCUUGAAGGUGUUCAUAGACGUCUGCCUCAAGGAAAUACCCCAGGAUGAAUGCCUGAGAUCCCUCUUUCGGUGGGUUUACCAAAGGAGAGGUUGAGUACACCUGUGCUGUAGUAAGUUGGUGAAUUAUCUAACAUCGAUUGAAUAUCUCAGAAGAUCAUUGAAAAUAAUCCACCUGAAUAGUAUUCAGGAGCUGGAAAUUUGCUACAUGUCCUGGCCACAUCUGAUAAGAAAGCCUUUUUGUUACCUGAAGGAGAUGAAGAAUCUUCGCAAACUCAUUUUUCUGCAGGUGCCAUCCUUACAUGUCAAUUACCAUGAGGAAUGCUCAGUUGCCAAAAUCAGCUCUCUGUUCCUCAGGCUGAAACACCUCCGGUUGCUUAAAAUGAAUAUGGUCACCACCUAGGACAGCUGAUCAGGUGCCUCUAGAACCCCUUGGAGAACUUGGAAUUAACUUGUGGCUACCUAUUGGAAGAGGACUUGAGGUGUCUCUACCAGUACCCAAGCCUCGCUUACCCAAAGCAUCUGAAUCUCAGCUACAUGCUGCAGUUCUGUAUCACUACAUGCUGCAGUUCCGUAUCAGUCUUGAACCCCUCGGAGCUCUGCUGGAGAAAGUUUCUGCCACUCUCGAGACCCUCAUCUUGGAGGGCUGUCAGAUCCACUACUCCCAACUCAGCGCCAUCCUGCCUUGCCUGAGCCGCUGCUCCCAGCUCACCACCUUCUACUUUGGCAGAAAUUGCAUGUCUAUGGACGCCCUGAAGGACCUGCUGCGCCACACCAGUGCGCUGAGCAAGUUAAGCCUCGAGACGUAUCCUGCCCCUGAGGAGAGUUUGAAUUCCUUGGUUCGUGUCAGUUGGGAGAUCUUCACCCCACUUGGGGCUGAGCUGAUGUGUACACUGAGGGAAGUCAGGCAGCCCAAGAGGAUCUUCAUUGGCCCCACCCCCUGCCCUUCCUGUGACUCAUCACCACCUGAGGAACUGGAGCUCCAUCUUUGCUGUUAGGGAAGGCGUGCCUAGUGGGGUAGAUAAAUCCAAAGUUCUCUUCCAGGCACUUGGACACUAAAAUCUAGUAUG